Phyllostomus discolor (pale spear-nosed bat) is the source of this 1719-nucleotide long non-coding RNA. RefSeq lists it as uncharacterized. Lineage: Eukaryota; Metazoa; Chordata; Mammalia; Chiroptera; Phyllostomidae. The transcript is spliced from 3 exons. The record is from RefSeq and is a predicted model, not a curated record.
CGGGGUUUUCGCUCGUCGGCUUAGGGAGCGCUUACCGUCCCGGAAAGCUCAGGUUGCCAGAAUGAGCUCAAGUUUGAAAAUUGCUCAGUAGGACCAGGCAUAGUGUGGGCCUCUUCUCUGGUGGUUUCACUUGCCAAUCGCUACUAUUUUGAUAACUGUCAUGAGCACAGAAUCAUGCAAUAGCAGCUGUAGAUUAAGAAGACUAAACAUAUGUGAAUUGAGAUCAGUGUUGUGAUAAAUGAAACAAAAUAUUAAUUUGACAUACUUCAGAUAUAUUUAAUUUUUCUGCUGGAUGAUUACUAUAGAUGUUAACUGAUUCAUGUAAAUCCAAGGUUUACAGUUUAUAGGAGCCUUAUAAAAUAAAUGCUAUUGGAUAAUGAUCAAGUCUAUAGGGAUGUCUUACUACCUUCAGAAAAUCUUCCUUAAUUGAUUUCACUCCUGAAUAAGUUGCUCCAUUUUGGCUACCAUUCCUUUACACACCUUUACCAUGUAUAGUUACUGACAGAAUAGUACCCUUCUUUGCUAUGUGAAUAACUCUUCUUUGAGUGUUGUGGUUUCAUCAAGAGAUUAGUUAUCAGACCCAUUAGGGACCAAAGCAUCAGAGGAUAGGAUCUCAGUUAAGGCUAGCAUUGUGCAGUCAGAUAUUUCUAUCAGUCAUUUUGCAAAGCAAAUUGUGAGUGAACUGAACAGAUGGGCUUCUUUAGAGAGACCCUUAAAAAAGUCCCCAUGUGAGGCCUGAGCCCUUGAGUAUUGCUGUGUAGUGAUUUCUUCUUCUCUUGGUAGUAGACAGACUAAUAGACUGUGAUCACUAUUUUUAAUCAAAGAACAAAGCCCCUACUCUUUUUUUUUUUGGUAGACAGGCUGCUAUAUAUCUACAUUGGGAAGGAAAACAAGAAAUAUCUGCAUAUAACUUAAGGAAUGCUUGUUUAAUGCCUAUUAAUUUAGAACACCUGCCUGCCAGCACUUUUUAGUAGGUAUGUUUGUAGAGAGAUACUGGGAAGAAACUUGUACUUUACUGUUCCAUAUAAGGCAAAAACAAAUGUGGGACUGAAAGUUAAUAGAGUUUUUAAUUUCUGCCCAUAGACAAGUAACACCUUUUUCAGGACUCUGCCUGCUUGCUGGGAAACCUUCCUUCAACUCAGUCCCUAUAGAAACUCACUUUUCUGUAGAGAUGAAACCCCUUUCCAUUAUCUCUUUUAAUUCCUAAUUGAGCAGUAUGACCUUUGGAUGAUAAAAUAUUCCUUCCUUUAGACAUAAUUCUGGAAGCAAUAUGAAUAAUAUUGAGAUAUUAUUUGGCAUUGUAUUUUAUAGAAAAUAAAAAGCAUGUGAGGUCCUUUUAUGUGUCUGUCUUCUGGCAUCUUGAAAUUUUCUUCCCUAUAUGAUAAUAAAGAAUUAAAGUAUAGUCUAUGCUGAGAUUAGAGGCAUCCCUGAUUUUUGAGAACCCUAUGACAGGACCCAAAAGUGACAUCGAUGAGGCCCACAGCCCCAGAGUAGUGUUGGAUCACUAGCUCCUCUGUGAGGGCCAAGAGGUUUAUAUAGCUACAGGAGGGAGGGUGGACCCUGUAAGCUUGACUGCUUUUAUGCAUUUAUACAAAGUGAAAUAAUAAACUCCUUUUGAAAAAUUUAGUGUGUCGCAUGUGUAUUAAAGAGUACUAACAAAGCUGUGGUGUGUGUGAAAAAUCCCAGGGCAGAACUGUGGUCACUUGGUCAGCCCCUCUA